AUUGCUUCUCAGCCUUUUGGCUAAGAUCAAGUUCUGUUCUUAUUUUUGUUUUUAUCAAUUUAAUAGCUGAUAUAUUCUUUAUCUGAGGAAAAUAUAUUAAAUAGAUUUUUGGAAUUAGGAGAUGGAAUAGGAGCUUGCUCUGUCUACUCCACCCAUUGACCUGGUAUUGCAGUACUUCCAGGAACAGUACAGAAAGA
This 197-nucleotide small nuclear RNA is filed under the name Dasypus novemcinctus (nine-banded armadillo). RNAcentral describes it as "U2 spliceosomal RNA (ENSDNOG00000029375.1)". It matches the Rfam family "U2 spliceosomal RNA". From Rfam's summary of the family: U2 is a small nuclear RNA (snRNA) component of the spliceosome (involved in pre-mRNA splicing). Complementary binding between U2 snRNA (in an area lying towards the 5' end but 3' to hairpin I) and the branchpoint sequence (BPS) of the intron results the bulging out of an unpaired adenosine, on the BPS, which initiates a nucleophilic attack at the intronic 5' splice site, thus starting the first of two transesterification reactions that mediate splicing. Lineage: Eukaryota; Metazoa; Chordata; Mammalia; Cingulata; Dasypodidae. The record is from RNAcentral.